GACAGGUUCAAUCAACUGGAGAUGGGAAUCUUUUUUGGAUAACAUGAAAGUUUUUAGUACGCAGGAAAUACAAGAAAUCGGCACCUAAAAGAACUCAUACAGAUCAAUCGCACAUCAAAGAGCA
Molecule: long non-coding RNA, 124 nt
Organism: Cucurbita moschata (crookneck pumpkin)
Lineage: Eukaryota; Viridiplantae; Streptophyta; Magnoliopsida; Cucurbitales; Cucurbitaceae
Exons: 2
Source: RefSeq, a predicted model, not a curated record